RNAcentral lists this long non-coding RNA (1053 nucleotides) under Coturnix japonica (Japanese quail). RNAcentral's name for it is "lncRNA (ENSCJPG00005012579.1)". Lineage: Eukaryota; Metazoa; Chordata; Aves; Galliformes; Phasianidae. The record is from RNAcentral.
UGCAACUCUUCUUUUCAGACACAGCCUAGGCAAACAGAGUGCAGUUUAUCAAUAAAGAACUUUAAUUUCCCCCUUAUCUCGCGGCUUGUACAAACUUGUUGCAUUCAAGUUUGUCUAGUUGGGUUACUUUUUCCCGAGUGCAUUGUGGGAAGCCCUACGUCUGGCUGGCAGCUAUUGAUUUUGUCCCCGCGUUACCAUCUUCCAGGCUUCUCCCCUCUCUGCGCACCCGGCGGAGCCAGUCCCGUCCCGCGCUGCGGAGGCGGAGCCUCAGGGCCCGGCGGGGCGCUGCGGGGUGACCCCUCCGGGCACGGGGGGGUGGGGGUUCCGCCGUGCUUUGGCAGGCGUGCCCGCCGCUGUUCCUUCAGCUCUGUCGGUAUAAAGCUGAGAAGGGGGAGAGCAAACUUCCUGCCCGCUCGCUCCCCCUCCCGCAGCUCCGCACUGCCGCCGUGCACCUGCCCACCGCACAGCUCCACGAGGCGGGGCGGGGGCCGCGCCGAGCACGCAGGCAGGAUAUUGUUCAACCUUCACCCCCGCCCCUCCUCCUCUUCCUCCUCUCUUCCCCCUCCCCGACGUUCUUCUUCCCCCCCCACCCCCUCCCGCCGCCGCAGGCCCCCAUCUGCCGCCUGCGGGCGUUGCGCGGUGCUGCGCGCUGGGCAUUGUGGCUGCGCGGCGCAGUCAGGGCCGCCUCACCCUCACCCAGCUGCCUGCAAAUUCGUGCGCGCCCGGAAGCCGCACGCCCGCUCCCCGCUGCGGCCCCUCCGCUCUGCCCCCCCCCGCCACAACCCCCGGCUUCCCAGCUCCCUUCCCCCACGCCUUCACCGCCGCCUCCUCCUCCUCCUGCUGCUCCUCUGCCACUUUCUCUCUCUCCCUCCCAGGACGCGUCGGAUGAUCCGGGGCCGCCGGGGAAGGGCUCCGGGCAGCAGCAAGGAGGCUGCGUCCUCCUCCUCCUCCCGUUUUGGGGGCUGUGGGAAAAAAAAAAAAAAAAAAAAAAAAAAAAAAAAAAAAAAAAAAAAAAGCCGGUGGUGGCCUCGGUGUUAUUUUGUAUUAAAAUGA